AGAGUUUGAUCCUGGCUCAGGAUGAACGCUAGCGGUGUGCCUAAUGCAUGCAAGUCGAACGGGAUCCUUUAGAUUCGUCUUAAGGUGAGAGUGGCGGACGGGUGAGUAACGCGUUGGUGACCUGCCCCAGAGAGGGGGACAACCAUUGGAAACGAUGGCUAAUACCCCAGAUGUCAUUGUGUUUAGAAAACAAUGACUAAACGCUCCGGCGCUCUGGGAGGGGCCUGCGUCCCAUCAGCUAGUUGGUAAGGUAAUGGCUUACCAAGGCAAAGACGGGUAGGGGGCGUGAGAGCGUGACCCCCCACACUGGUACUGAAACACGGACCAGAUACCUACGGGUAGCAGCAGCAAGGAAUAUUGCCCAAUGGACGAAAGUCUGAGGCAGCAACACCGCGUGGAGGACGAAAGCCUUCGGGUUGUAAACUCCUUUUCUGGGGGAAGAGAACGGACGGUACCCCAGGAAUAAGGCCCGGCUAACUACGUGCCAGCAGCCGCGGUAAAACGUAGGGGUCAAGCGUUAUCCGGAUUUACUGGGCGUAAAGAGCAUGUAGGCGGUUGCUUAAGUCGGACGUGAAAGCUCCUGGCUCAACUAGGAGAGGCCGUUCGAAACUAAGUAACUCGAGGAUGGUAGAGGAGAGUGGAAUUCCCGGUGUAGUGGUGAAAUGCGUAGAUAUCGGGAGGAACACCAGUGGCGAAGGCGGCUCUCUGGGCCAUUCCUGACGCUGAGAUGCGAAAGCUAGGGGAGAGAACGGGAUUAGAAACCCCGGUAUUCCUAGCCGUAAACGAUGUCAACUAGGUGUAGGAGGUAUUGACCCCUUCUGUGCUGCAGCAAACGCGUUAAGUUGACCGCCUGGGGACUACGGCCGCAAGGCUAAAACUCAAAGGAAUUGAUGG
RNAcentral lists this ribosomal RNA (894 nucleotides) under uncultured bacterium. RNAcentral's name for it is "bacterial SSU rRNA". It matches the Rfam family "Bacterial small subunit ribosomal RNA", at positions 8 to 916 of the family's 1533-position model. The record is from RNAcentral.